AAACGAUAAAAACCAAACGCAAACGCGGUUUCUUGUUCAAAGUCUCCUCUCUGCGUCCACCCCAUUUCCCUCUCUUCCUUAUUCCUUCUAUUUGUCAAUUUCAAGCCCUCUUUCUCCUUUCAACAUUCACGCCGAUCAUCAGAAAGUACCGAUUUGGUUUUCAACAGCUACGGCAAUCUGUAUGUGGUUUGAUCGUUGAAGUGGGGAAAUUCAAGAAUUGAAAUUGAAUGGGGUGUUGCAGUAGCACGAACGUUGAUUCCAAAGCGAGUCGCGUCGCCAGGUGGCGCUCCACUGGCAUCGUGGCGUUGCGUGACUCUAAACUGAAGACAUUUCCAGAUGAAAUUCUUGAUUUAGAAGGAUCAGUCCGCACACUUGAUCUAACACGCAACAAACUAGUUGAUAUCCCAAUGGAAAUAAGCAAAUUGAUUAACUUGCAGCGGCUGGUUUUAGCUGAUAAUCUUAUUGGGCGUCUUCCUAUGAACUUGGGAAAGCUUCAGUCUCUAAAAGUUAUGACACUUGAUGGAAAUCGAGUUGCCACAAUGCCUGAUGAAUUGGGUCAGUUGGUGAAACUGGAGAAGCUAUCAAUAUCAGGAAAUUUGUUGGUCAACUUGCCUGAAACUAUUGGGAGCUUGCGCAAUUUGAUGCUGUUAAAUGUGUCAAACAACAAGAUAAGGUCUCUUCCAGAGUCAAUUGGUAGUUGCUACUCUCUGGAGGAAAUUCAAGCUGAUGAAAAUUCCAUCGAAGAGCUUCCAUCUUCAGUGUGCAAUCUUGUUCAUCUAAAGUCACUAUGCUUGAACAAUAACAAUGUGAAGCAGGUUUCUCACUCAUAUACCUCCAAAUUUAUUGAAAGAUUGCAAAAGUCUGCAGAAUAUAUCCCUCCAUGGCAACCCCAUUUCUUUGGAUUAUUUUCAACAGAUGGAAGGAUUUGAAGAUUUUGAAAGUCGGAGGAAAAGAAAAUUUGACAAGCAGAUAGAUUCAAAUGUGAUGAUUAGUUCCAAAGGUCUUGAUGAGGGUGUUGAUCACUGAUGCUUGCUACUACAUUUUUGAAAUUUGGUCCUCUGGGGUUGUGUCAUAAUAUGGCCCCUUUUGACUAAAUGAACGUGAUCUGAUAUAGUAUGUCUUUGGAAGUAAAUUAGCAAAAGAACGGUUCAGAAGUUUCUUGACCGAACAAUCCCCUGAGCUAUUCUCGUCACAGAUGCCAUGUUUCUCGUGCACAUUGCACCACGUUUAUAAUGGGUUUAUUCUGCUGCAAGUUGCCAUGUUCUGUAAUGUAAUUCUACUUCAUAUGUUCGCAGUUGGUGAAAUAUCAUCAUAUGGGGUGUCUGCGCUUGAAUCCUGGAGGAGGAUGUGAGUAUGUAUAACCCUCGCCGUGUAUUGAUUUAUCGGCAUACCAGUCACAUAUAGUUUUUGUAUGUAUAUUCCCCCCCUGGUUUCCAUCAUAAGAACUACUAGGAAGUCUACAAAGCGCUGGCAAUGUAAAUGGCGUUUGUCUUCCUUUUUGGUUGAUUCCUUUCACGACAUCGUGUAAUAAACAAGUAGAGGGAAGCUAUAAGCAGGCCUGAUGGAAACUUAGAUUGAUGUUAUAGUCGUUAACACUAUAUACACAAUCAAUAUUUACAUAUGUCUAUACUACUUAUUAAGUGUGAGGAA
Molecule: RNA transcript, 1650 nt
Organism: Sesamum indicum (sesame)
Lineage: Eukaryota; Viridiplantae; Streptophyta; Magnoliopsida; Lamiales; Pedaliaceae
Gene name: Leucine-rich repeat (LRR) family protein
Source: RefSeq, a predicted model, not a curated record